GAUGAACGCUGGCGGCGUGCCUAAUACAUGCAAGUCGAGCGAACGGACGAGAAGCCUGCUUCUCUGAUGUUAGCGGCGGACGGGUGAGUAACACGUGGAUAACCUACCUAUAAGACUGGGAUAACUUCGGGAAACCGGAGCUAAUACCGGAUGAUAUUUUGAACCGCAUGGUUCAAAAGUGAAAGACGGUCUUGCUGUCACUUAUAGAUGGAUCCGCGCUGCAUUAGCUAGUUGGUAAGGUAACGGCUUACCAAGGCAACGAUGCAUAGCCGACCUGAGAGGGUGAUCGGCCACACUGGAACUGAGACACGGUCCAGACUCGUACGGGAGGCAGCAGUAGGGAAUCUUCCGCAAUGGGCGAAAGCCUGACGGAGCAACGCCGCGUGAGUGAUGAAGGUCGUCGGAUCGUAAAACUCUGUUAUGAGGGAAGAACAUAUGUGUAAGUAACUGUGCACAUCUUGACGGUACCUAAGCAGAAAGCCACGGCUAACUACGU
This 496-nucleotide ribosomal RNA is filed under the name uncultured bacterium. RNAcentral's name for it is "partial 16S ribosomal RNA". It matches the Rfam family "Bacterial small subunit ribosomal RNA", at positions 28 to 506 of the family's 1533-position model. The record is from RNAcentral.